Molecule: ribosomal RNA, 403 nt
Filed under: uncultured Bacillota bacterium
Lineage: Bacteria; Bacillati; Bacillota
Description: bacterial SSU rRNA
Rfam family: Bacterial small subunit ribosomal RNA
Source: RNAcentral
AAGUCUGAUGGAGCAACGCCGCGUGAGUGAUGAAGGUUUUCGGAUCGUAAAACUCUGUUGUAAGGGAAGAACCAGUACGUCAGGCAAUGGACGUACCUUGACGGUACGUUAUUAGAAAGCCACGGCUAACUACGUGCCAGCAGCCGCGGUAAUACGUAGGUGGCGAGCGUUGUCCGGAUUUACUGGGCGUAAAGGGUGCGUAGGCGGAUAUUUAAGUCAGAUGUGAAAACCCCGGGCUUAACUUGGGGACUGCAUUUGAAACUGGAUAUCUAGAGUGCAGGAGAGGAAAGCGGAAUUCCUAGUGUAGCAGUGAAAUGCGUAGAGAUUAGGAAGAACACCAGUGGCGAAGGCGGCUUUCUGGACUGUAACUGACGCUGAGGCACGAAAGCGUGGGUAGCAAACA